RNAcentral lists this ribosomal RNA (449 nucleotides) under uncultured prokaryote. Its description in RNAcentral is "bacterial SSU rRNA". It matches the Rfam family "Bacterial small subunit ribosomal RNA", at positions 355 to 796 of the family's 1533-position model. The record is from RNAcentral.
UAGGGAAUCUUGGGCAAUGGGCGAAAGCCUGACCCAGCGAUGCCGCGUGUGUGAAGAAGGCCUUCGGGUUGUAAAGCACUUUCAGUCGUGAAGAAAUGUUCAGGGUUAAUACCUCUGAGCUUUGACGUUAACGACAGAAGAAGCACCGGCUAACUCCGUGCCAGCAGCCGCGGUAAUACGGAGGGUGCGAACGUUAAUCGGAAUUACUGGGCGUAAAGCGCGCGUAGGCGGUUUGACAAGUGGGAUGUGAAAGCCCUGGGCUCAACCUGGGAACUGCAUUCCAAACUGUCAGGCUAGAGUAUGGUAGAGGGAGGUAGAAUUUCCUGUGUAGCGGUGAAAUGCGUAGAUAUAGGAAGGAAUACCGGUGGCGAAGGCGGCCUCCUGGACCAAUACUGACGCUGAGGUGCGAAAGCGUGGGGAGCAAACAGGAUUAGAUACCCCCGUAGUCC